GGACUUACUCUUCGGAGUGAGAGCGUACACAGGUGCUGCAUGGCUGUCGUCAGCUCGUGUCGUGAGAUGUGGGUUAAGUCCCGCAACGAGCGCAACCCUGCAUUCAGUUGCCAUCGGUAAGGCCGGGCACUCUGGAUGGACUGCCGGCGACAAGCCGGAGGAAGGUGGGGACGACGUCAAGUCAUCAUGGCCCUUAUGUCCAGGGCGACACACGUGCUACAAUGGCCGGCACAACGGGAAGCGAAGGGGCGACCCUGAGCGGAUCCCCAUAAAAGCCGGUCCCAGUUCGGAUUGCAGUCUGCAACUCGACUGCAUGAAGUUGGAAUCGCUAGUAAUCGUGGAUCAGCCAAGCCGCGGUGAAUACGUUCCCGGGCCUU
Molecule: ribosomal RNA, 377 nt
Filed under: uncultured Thermovirga sp.
Lineage: Bacteria; Thermotogati; Synergistota; Synergistia; Synergistales; Thermovirgaceae
Description: bacterial SSU rRNA
Rfam family: Bacterial small subunit ribosomal RNA
Source: RNAcentral